This 430-nucleotide long non-coding RNA is filed under the name Mytilus galloprovincialis (Mediterranean mussel). Lineage: Eukaryota; Metazoa; Mollusca; Bivalvia; Mytilida; Mytilidae. The record is from RNAcentral.
AAGGUAAGGAUUUUUAUUGGUUGCAGUAGAAACUCGCUGCAUCCAAUCAAAAAGCGCCUAUAACAUGAUCACGUGUAAAUGUAGAAAGUGUUUGUAAACAAUUGCCACGUGUUUAUUGUGCAACAAGUCUUUACAUCACUAAACAUACGACUAUAUUUAGUGACAACUUGAAUGUUUUUAAUCAACAAAUAGAAGUUCCUGUGUAUGUUUCAUGCACAAAUGCAUGGAUGUUGACGUAUAUUUUCGUUUCCGGCUUUACCAAGUGGGUAGACUCUAGACACUACCGUGUUUUCACCUCCAAAUUGAAGAGUUCAAGUGCUACCAUUGGUCAAGAAUAAUGUAUUCGGAAUGGGCGUGACUUUAAUCUUCCGAUAGAUGGCGCGACAUUGAUAUCACAAAUGUUGGCUCAAUCUGCCAAGGGUGAAGAGAG